GUAAGAAGCAUGGAGCUGACCUGCUCCUCUGCAUCCCUUUGGUAUCCGUGUGCCAUAAUAUUCCUGAUCUGAGGUGGUUGCUGGCAUCCUGGGUUUGAAGAGUUUUGCGGUGGCUGUUCUUUUCCCACCCCGGUUCAUUGCCUCUCUCCAUAGGAGCAGCUAAGCCCAUCGGGCAGACCAUCCCUCUGGAACCCACACCCACAGCGCCUGUGUUCUGUUUGAUGGCAGGCUGCCUUCCAUCC
Megalops cyprinoides (Indo-Pacific tarpon) is the source of this 242-nucleotide long non-coding RNA. RefSeq lists it as uncharacterized. The record is from RefSeq and is a predicted model, not a curated record. The transcript has 3 exons. Lineage: Eukaryota; Metazoa; Chordata; Actinopteri; Elopiformes; Megalopidae.